ACGGGUGCGUAACGCGUGGGAAUCUGCCCUUGGGUUCGAAAUAACAGUUAGAAAUGACUGCUAAUACCGGAUGAUGUCUUCGGACCAGAGAUUUAUCGCCCAAGGAUGAGCCCGCGUAAGAUUAGCUAGUUGGUGGGGUAAUGGCCCACCAAGGCGACGAUCUUUAGCUGGUCUGAGAGGAUGAUCAGCCACACUGGGACUGAGACACGGCCCAGACUCCUACGGGAGGCAGCAGUGGGGAAUAUUGGACAAUGGGCGAAAGCCUGAUCCAGCAAUGCCGCGUGAGUGAUGAAGGCCUUAGGGCUGUAAAGCUCUUUUACCAGGGAUGAUAAUGACAGUACCUGGAGAAUAAGCUCCGGCUAACUCCGUGCCAGCAGCCGCGGUAAUACGGAGGGAGCUAGCGUUGUUCGGAAUUACUGGGCGUAAAGCGUACGUAGGCGGUUACUCAAGUCAGAGGUGAAAGCCCGGGGCUCAACCCCGGAACUGCCUUUGAAACUAGGUGGCUAGAGUCUUGGAGAGGUUAGUGGAAUUCCGAGUGUAGAGGUGAAAUUCGUAGA
This 557-nucleotide ribosomal RNA is filed under the name uncultured Novosphingobium sp. RNAcentral's name for it is "bacterial SSU rRNA". It matches the Rfam family "Bacterial small subunit ribosomal RNA", at positions 102 to 694 of the family's 1533-position model. The record is from RNAcentral. Lineage: Bacteria; Pseudomonadati; Pseudomonadota; Alphaproteobacteria; Sphingomonadales; Sphingomonadaceae.